UACAGAGACUGCAAGCGUUAUUCGGAUUCACUGGGCGUAAAGGGUGCGCAGGCGGUUGGGUUUGUCAGAUGUGAAAUCCCGAGGCUCAACCUCGGAACUGCGUCUGAAACUACUCGACUAGAGUACUGGAGAGGGUAACGGAAUUCACGGUGUAGCAGUGAAAUGCGUAGAUAUCGUGAGGAACACCAGAGGCGAAGGCGGUUACCUGGACAGUUACUGACGCUCAGGCACGAAAGCAUGGGGAGCAAAAGGG
Molecule: ribosomal RNA, 253 nt
Filed under: uncultured bacterium
Lineage: Bacteria
Description: partial 16S ribosomal RNA
Rfam family: Bacterial small subunit ribosomal RNA
Source: RNAcentral